This 452-nucleotide ribosomal RNA is filed under the name uncultured bacterium. Its description in RNAcentral is "bacterial SSU rRNA". It matches the Rfam family "Bacterial small subunit ribosomal RNA", at positions 355 to 796 of the family's 1533-position model. The record is from RNAcentral.
UCAGGAAUAUUGCGCAAUGGAGGAAACUCUGACGCAGCGACGCCGCGUGGGUGAUGAAGGCCUUCGGGUCGUAAAGCCCUGUCGGAGGGGAAGAAAAGUUGACUGGCUAAUAUCCAGUUGACCUUUGACGGUACCCUCAAAGGAAGCACCGGCUAACUCCGUGCCAGCAGCCGCGGUAAGACGGAGGGUGCAAGCGUUGUUCGGAUUGACUGGGCGUAAAGGGCGUGUAGGCGGUUGGUCAAGUCAGGUGUGAAAUCCCGGGGCUCAGCCCCGGAAGUGCAUCUGAAACUAGCCAGCUAGAGCGCGAUAGAGGAGGGUGGAAUUCCUGGUGUAGCGGUGAAAUGCGUAGAUAUCAGGAGGAACACCGGCGGCGAAGGCGGCCCUCUGGAUCGUUGCUGACGCUGAGACGCGAAAGCGUGGGGAGCAAACAGGAUUAGAUACCCGCGUAGUCC